RNAcentral lists this ribosomal RNA (555 nucleotides) under uncultured bacterium. RNAcentral describes it as "bacterial SSU rRNA". It matches the Rfam family "Bacterial small subunit ribosomal RNA", at positions 338 to 908 of the family's 1533-position model. The record is from RNAcentral.
CCUACGGGAGGCAGCAGUGGGGAAUUUUCCGCAAUGGGCGAAAGCCUGACGGAGCAAUACCGCGUGAGGGAGGAAGGCCCUUGGGUUGUAAACCUCUUUUCUCAGGGAAGAAUAAUGACGGUACCUGAGGAAUCAGCAUCGGCUAACUCCGUGCCAGCAGCCGCGGUAAUACGGAGGAUGCAAGCGUUAUCCGGAAUGAUUGGGCGUAAAGCGUCCGCAGGUGGCUCUUCAAGUCUGCUGUUAAAGCCCAGGGCUCAACCCUGGAGAAGCAGUGGAAACUGGGGAGCUAGAGUGUGGUAGGGGCAGAGGGAAUUCCCGGUGUAGCGGUGAAAUGCGUAGAGAUCGGGAAGAACACCAGUGGCGAAAGCGCUCUGCUGGACCACAACUGACACUCAUGGACGAAAGCUAGGGGAGCGAAUGGGAUUAGAUACCCCAGUAGUCCUAGCCGUAAACGAUGGACACUAGGUGUUGCGCGUAUCGACCCGUGCAGUGCCGUAGCCAACGCGUUAAGUGUCCCGCCUGGGGAGUACGCUCGCAAGAGUGAAACUCAAAUGA